This 71-nucleotide transfer RNA is filed under the name Nelumbo nucifera (sacred lotus). It matches the Rfam family "tRNA". Rfam says of the family: Transfer RNA (tRNA) molecules are approximately 80 nucleotides in length. Their secondary structure includes four short double-helical elements and three loops (D, anti-codon, and T loops). The record is from Rfam by way of RNAcentral. Lineage: Eukaryota; Viridiplantae; Streptophyta; Magnoliopsida; Proteales; Nelumbonaceae.
CCCCUAUAGCUUAGUGGAAAAGCGUCAGUCUUGUAAACUGAAGGUCUGUAGUUUGAUCCUCUGCAUGGGGG